RNAcentral lists this ribosomal RNA (253 nucleotides) under uncultured bacterium. RNAcentral describes it as "partial 16S ribosomal RNA". It matches the Rfam family "Bacterial small subunit ribosomal RNA", at positions 524 to 776 of the family's 1533-position model. The record is from RNAcentral.
UACGUAGGGUCCGAGCGUUGUCCGGAAUUAUUGGGCGUAAAGAGCUUGUAGGCGGUCUGUCGCGUCUGCUGUGAAAAUCCGGGGCUCAACCCCGGACUUGCAGUGGGUACGGGCAGACUAGAGUGUGGUAGGGGAGACUGGAAUUCCUGGUGUAGCGGUGAAAUGCGCAGAUAUCAGGAGGAACACCGAUGGCGAAGGCAGGUCUCUGGGCCACUACUGACGCUGAUGCGCGAAAGCCAGGGGAGCGAACGGG